AGACAGAUAGCUGGGUCAAAUGGUGGUUCCAUUCCCAGAUUUCCAAGGAAUCUCCAUACUGCUUUCCAUAUUGGCUGCACCAAUUUGCAGUCCCACCAGCAAU
This 103-nucleotide microRNA precursor is filed under the name Marmota monax (woodchuck). Lineage: Eukaryota; Metazoa; Chordata; Mammalia; Rodentia; Sciuridae. The record is from RNAcentral.